RNAcentral lists this ribosomal RNA (253 nucleotides) under uncultured bacterium. RNAcentral describes it as "partial 16S ribosomal RNA". It matches the Rfam family "Bacterial small subunit ribosomal RNA", at positions 524 to 776 of the family's 1533-position model. The record is from RNAcentral.
UACAGAGGGGGCAAGCGUUAUUCGGAAUUAUUGGGCGUAAAGGGCGCGUAGGCGGCUUCGCAAGUGGAAUGUGAAAUCCCCCGGCUCAACCGGGGAACGGGCGCCGAUACGACCGUUCUCGAGGGACGUAGGGGGACCUGGAACUUCCGGUGGAGCGGUGAAAUGCGUUGAGAUCGGAAGGAACGCCCGUGGCGAAAGCGAGGUCCUGGACGUCUGCUGACGCUGAGACGCGAAAGCCAGGGGAGCGAACGGG